GAUCAUGGCUCAGGAUGAACGCUAGCUACAGGCUUAACACAUGCAAGUCGAGAGGCAGCAUGGUCUUAGCUUGCUAAGGCCGAUGGCGACCGGCGCACGGGUGAGUAACGCGUAUCCAACCUGCCUUACACUCUUGGACAGCCUUCUGAAAGGGAGAUUAAUACAAGAUGUUAUCAUGAGUAAGCAUUUUCGCAUGAUUAAAGGUUUACCGGUGUAAGAUGGGGAUGUG
Molecule: ribosomal RNA, 229 nt
Filed under: uncultured bacterium
Lineage: Bacteria
Description: partial 16S ribosomal RNA
Rfam family: Bacterial small subunit ribosomal RNA
Source: RNAcentral